GAUGAACGCUGGCGGCGUGCUUAACACAUGCAAGUCGAACGGUGAAAGAGGGAGCUUGCUCCUUCUGGAUCAGUGGCGAACGGGUGAGUAACACGUGAGUAACCUGCCCUUGACUCUGGGAUAAGCGUUGGAAACGACGUCUAAUACCGGAUACGAGCUUCAGCCGCAUGGCUAGGAGCUGGAAAGAAUUUCGGUCAAGGAUGGACUCGCGGCCUAUCAGCUAGUUGGUGAGGUAAUGGCUCACCAAGGCGACGACGGGUAGCCGGCCUGAGAGGGUGACCGGCCACACUGGGACUGAGACACGGCCCAGACUCCUACGGGAGGCAGCAGUGGGGAAUAUUGCACAAUGGGCGCAAGCCUGAUGCAGCAACGCCGCGUGAGGGACGACGGCCUUCGGGUUGUAAACCUCUUUUAGUAGGGAAGAAGCGAAAGUGACGGUACCUGCAGAAAAAGCACCGGCUAACUACGUGCCAGCCGCCGCCGUAAUAC
RNAcentral lists this ribosomal RNA (489 nucleotides) under uncultured bacterium. RNAcentral's name for it is "bacterial SSU rRNA". It matches the Rfam family "Bacterial small subunit ribosomal RNA", at positions 28 to 526 of the family's 1533-position model. The record is from RNAcentral.